This is a long non-coding RNA of Olea europaea var. sylvestris, 211 nucleotides long. RefSeq lists it as uncharacterized. The record is from RefSeq and is a predicted model, not a curated record. Lineage: Eukaryota; Viridiplantae; Streptophyta; Magnoliopsida; Lamiales; Oleaceae. The transcript has 3 exons.
GCGUUCGAUGAUUGGUUCAAAUCCCUUAAGUCCGAAGAUAGUUAUACCAUCGGCUGUAUGACCGUGCCCAAUGCUAAAAAGUGGUUUGAAGAUGUACUGACGACCUCAGCUUGGCUCGCUGAUGAUCAUAUCGACUUGGCUAUGGAAUUGUUACGCGAUCGGGCGCGGAGAUACCCGAGAUCUUAUGACAGUCCUACUCGAGUUAUCUUGA